Molecule: long non-coding RNA, 2403 nt
Filed under: Canis lupus familiaris (dog)
Lineage: Eukaryota; Metazoa; Chordata; Mammalia; Carnivora; Canidae
Description: lncRNA (ENSCAFG00000057593.1)
Source: RNAcentral
UUUUUUUUUAAAUAUUUAUUUAUUUAUUUAUUUAUUUAUUUAUUUAUUUAUUUAUUUAUGAUAAACACACACACACAGAAAGAGAGAGAGAGAGAGAGAGGCAGAGGGAGAAGCAGGCUCCAUGCCGGGAGCCCGACGUGAGACUCAAUCCCGGGACUCCAGGAUCACGCCCUGGGCCAAAGGCAGGCGUCAAACUGCUGAGCCACCCAGGGAUCCCCGACAACAGAUUUUUCUCUUGGGGCAGUUCGGUGCUUCCUUGCCACUCAUUCAUUCUCCCAUUUAUUUAACAUUUAUAGAAGGCCUACUGUAUGCAAACACUGUGCUGGCAUUGGCAGUGCAAAAGGGAGCAAAAAAUGACUUGGUUACUGUCCUUGUGUUGCUCAGAGUCUAUUAGGAAAGGCAGAUAUUAACCCAAAUGUAAGGAAUAGGUGCAAACUUAGGCCUGUGACAAGUGCUGGGGUGGAGGCACAUGUUGCCCCAAGAGCAUGAAUUCUGCUCAUCAGUAGUCACGGAGGCUGGGACAGUCGUGACCAAGCUGAGAUGAGAAUGAAGAGCAGCCAUUGAUUGACCAGGUGAAGAAGGAACAAAAGCAACUUGCAGGCCAAGUGCCUGUUGUAAGACAAACAUACCCAUGGGAAGAGCUGAAUGUGGCAGGUGUGACUGCAGACGGGUAAAGCACCAGGAAAGACACGUAAGAGGAUGAGGCUAGAGAGGUAGGUGGGGGGCUCACAGGCACUGGGUCUUUUUCUUAGCUGAAAUAGAAAACCACUGAAGGGUACUGAGUAGGCAAGGUGGCACGAGAUAAGUCUUAGUGCUUGACCACACCUGCCUCUUCCAGGAGGGAAACGGGAUGGAUGUUGACCAGACUUUGUGCUGAUCACUUGGAAACACAGACAUAUAUUGAACCAUUAGGUUGUAUGCCUGAAACUAACAUGAUGUUCUUUUUUUUUUUUUAAAGAUUUUAUUUAUUUAUUCAAAGAGACACAGAGAGGCAGAGACACAGGCAGAGGGAGAAGCAGGCUCCAUGCAGAGAGCCCAACAUGGGACUCGAUCCAGGGUCUCCAGGAUCACGCCCUGGGCUGCAGGCGGCACUAAACCACUGCGCCACCAGGGCUGCCCCUCACAUGAUGUUCUACGUCAAGGUCUAUCAAUUUAAAAAAUCAGAUGAGGAGCGCCUGAGUGGCUCAAUCGGUUAAGUGUCUGACUUUUUUUUUUAAUAUUUUAAUUAUUCAUAAGAGACAGAGAGAGAGAGAAGUAGAGACAUAGGCAGAGAGAGAAGCAGGCUCCACGCAGGGAGCCCAAUAUGGAACUCUAUCCCGGGUCUCCAGGAUCACACCCUGGGCUGAAGGCAGGCACUAAACCGCUGAGCCAUCCAGGGAUCCCAAGUGUCUGACUCUUGAUCUCAGCUCAGGUCUUGAUCUUAGGGUCGUAAGUUCAAGCCCCAUGUUAGGAUCCAUGCUGGGUGUGGAACUUACUUAAAAAACAAACCAGCAAUGAUGAUAGUGGCGGUGAUAAGAAUACUGAUAAAACUAAUAAUAGAGCUAAUGUUACUGAACACUGUGUCCCAUGCACUGCUUUAAGCAUUCUUUAUGCAUCCAUUCAUUCAGGCCUCACAUUUGCCCUGUGAAGCAGGCACUAUUAAUAUCCCCAUUUUACAACUGACAAAACUGAGGCAGAGAAAGAGUAAGUAACUUGCCCGAGGUCACACAGCUUAUAGAUAGUAGAGUUGGCAGAUAAGGGAGUGAUCUCUGAGCACCUAAAGAAAUUGCUCUCAUAAAGAAGUCAUAGGGCCAGGAAACUGCUGCCCUAUACAAGAGAGAUCUGGGGACAGCAACCUGUGAUAAACUUGAUUUGUAACUUGGGCUCUUAGUCCACAUGGUUGGAGCACUCAUUGUGCACCUACCAUGUGCUAUGAAUGCAUACUGAGGUAAGCCCUGAGAAUUUGGCAGGGACAAAAAAAUAGUCCCAGAACUUAUAUUCCAGUGUGGAGAAAAGACAAUGCACAAGUGAGCAAACAAUGCAAGUGAUUUCAGGUGACAAAAAGGGGCUAUAGGGCAGAGAUAACAGGGUAGUGCGAUGGGCAGUGACAGGCAGAGGGGUGGUGUCUCUCUAGACAAAGUGGUCAGGGAAGGCCUUGCUGAGAAGAUGCCAGGUGACACCAACAGUGAGAAAGCAACUGAGCCAUGAUCUUGGGAAGAUGGCUCUAAGAAGAGGGGAGAGUUGUACAAAGGCCCCGAGGCAGGGGCAACCUUGGGGUGUUCACAGAACACAGACAGGAGAUGCUGCAUCGUUCUGAGUGAGCAGGAAGAGAUGAGAAUGGAGACAGAUGUUUCUAGAAGCCCAGGCCCCAUAGGGCCUUAUGGGCUGUACAAUAAGUUGGAAUUUCAUCUUGAAUUGAUGGGA